This 4518-nucleotide long non-coding RNA is filed under the name Prunus persica (peach). RNAcentral describes it as "long non-coding RNA (PPER_LNC006876)". The record is from RNAcentral. Lineage: Eukaryota; Viridiplantae; Streptophyta; Magnoliopsida; Rosales; Rosaceae.
UUUGGAUUGUUGAGCAUAUUGCUCUAGCAAAAACGUAUGGUGUUGAAUAGCCAUUGCAACCUUCUGUUAAUGAAGGUCAUCAUCAUCAGACUCAUCAUUGAAGAAAUUUUGUAUAGCCUUCCCACGUGAAUUCAUUGUAAGAAGGAGAAUUGAAGGAGAUUGUGUGGUUAAUUCAGUAGAAUAACACUUCUUAAAUAGACAAGAGAAUGAGAUUACAUGUUUGAAAAUAAUUGAAUGAAGAUAGGAAAAGAUAGGGAAAGAUAAGGGAAUCCAAUAAAGUGAGAUGAACAAAGAUGAGCAAUGGUUCAGAACGUGAUUGAAACAAGACAAGAUGGGAAAUGGUUCAGAAAAUAAUUGAAUGAAGAUAGGAAAAGAUAGGGAGAGAUAAGGGAAUCCAAUAAAGUGAGAUGGACAAAGUUGAGCAAUGGUUCAGAACAUGAUUGAAACAAGACAAUAGGGGAUGUGAAAGAGUUCAGAAAAUAAUUGAAGAACACAAGUGGAGGUGGGCUAAAGUUCAGAACAUUAUUGAAUGAGGAUAAAGGAAUCCAAUGAAGUAAAAGUAAAAGUAAAAAUGGAAGAAAAUUAUGGCAAUGGCUUCAAUGAAGGGUUCGAAUUAUUCCGAGCAUACAUAUGGUGUUGUACUUGUUUUUAUUUUUAAGUGAAAUUCUAUUAUGUUUUUGAAUUUUAAUUUUUUUAGGUUAAAAUGUUUAGAAAAUUAAAUCAUGAGUAUUGAAACAAAAAUAAUGUCAAGAAAAAUUAACAAGGAAAAAAAAUAUCAUUCUUAAACAAUUUAAUAAAGUUGCUGACUCAAAUUAUGAGUCUACAAGGUUGGAGGGAAAAAAAAUUUGAGUCCUGAAAAUACAUGAAUAGUUGUAUUUUGAAGGGUGGAAAUUUGAGUUUAGCCCUAACAUGAUUGGAGAUGGUCUUAGAGAUUUUUCUUCUCCUCUCUCUCUCUCUCUCUCUCUCUCUCUCUCUCCUGCCAACAACUCACCUCCCCUAGUUCUUAGCUUCAUCAAGAAAAAUCCCUUAGGCUAGGUGACUCACCAAUUAGACUAGGUGACUCAUCCUCAUCCCUUCAUAAUGGAAGCUUUGAAAUGAGGCAAUGGGGGAAGAGUGGGAGGAGGAUGGUUUGAUUCCCUCCACGUUUCAGAUUCUUCUUCUCUUUUUUUUUUUGAGCUUUCAAGGAUAUUUUGGUAAUUAUCCACACAUAAGGGUAUUUUGGUCAUGUUUGUCCAACUUCAAAUUAAACACACUUAAUUUAAUAAUUUCAAUCCAAAAUCAUUUCAUAAAAUACCCAUAAUCAUUCUCCACCAUAAUAUUAUUUUUCACUAAAAUAUGAAAAUCCACCUUGAAUUUUUCGAGGUAUUACACAAAUACAAAUUGAAAUAGAAUUCACAAAUUGGCUAGCUAUUCAUAAACUGCAAUUUGAAACAGAAACCACAAAUUGCCUAGUUAUUCCUAGUUGCCCUCCACUCAUUAUAUAGUUGCAAGGCCAAGUCAUCCCUCCAUGCAGUCCAUUAAUUGGAUGCUUCGACAGUGCCAAUUGUAUCGCCUUCUAUCAUAUUUUUUGCCUCAUUAAUUUUAUUCACUUCGUGCUCAAUUGGAUCCAUGGACAUCUCCCUCCUAAUGAGAUUAUGUAAAAGACAAGCAGCUAUAAUUAUCCGACAUUGUGUCGCUAUAGGGUAAAAAGACGGACUCCUUAGCAUGCCCCACCUAACUUUCAACAGCCCAAAACAUUGUUCUAUUAAUUUAUUGCUUUUGAAUGCCUCAUAUUAAAAUAUUCUUGAUGAUUUGCAGCUGUAUAUCCACCUCUCCAUUUAGAUAUAUGACAACUUAUUCCUCUAUAUGGUGCAAGAAAUUCCUUAUCAUUUAUGUAACCACCAUCUACCAGAUAAUAAUAACCUAAUAACCAAAAAUUGACAAUUCCUAUUAGUGUUGGCAUAUAAAUAUAAUUCAAAAGUGCACAUAAAGUGAAUACUUACUAAUGGCCUUACUCGUGGGAACUUUUAACCAAUUUGGCCUAGUUAUGGCAUCACAAAGGACUUGAGAGUCAUAUGCAGAUCCCUCCCAACCUAGCAAUACAAAUAUAAACUACGUGUCGCGUGAGCAAACAGCCAACACAUUUGUUGCAAUUUCACCCUUCCUAGUUUGAUAUCUCGGUUUAUCAGUUUCAGGCACACAAACUUUAAUGUAAGUUCCAUCUAGAGCUCCCAAGAAAUUCUAUUAAAAGAAAGGUUACCUUUAAUUAAAUUCUAAAAAUUUCAAAAGAAGACAAAACAACUUACUAGAAUUUCUCCAAAUUUCCAAUACAUAAUAAACAUACCUUAAAACAUUUCCAUCUAUACUCUGUGCAACUCUCACCCACAGGUUCCAGCACUCUCAAUAGGCUAUCUUGCAAUCUUAAAAUUCCUUGCAACACAGAGUUGAAGUACCUACUAAUGGUCUCACCCGAUCGAAUAAAUUUACUUCUAAUAGUACGAUUCUUCACAUGAUGUGCAAGUACAUGUAAGAAUAUACACACUUGUUCCUCCAAAGUCACCAAACCAUCAUUUUUAACCCUUCCAUUAGCGUCAAGCAACGCACAUAAUAUACCAAACGUCCAUAAAUCCAUUAUUAAUUUGCUCACACACACUACAUCAUUCUCCAAUAUACUAUUUAGAUAAUGCAACCGCGUCUCAUGUCUAACAAAGGAAUGAUUAUUAAGGUCUCAUCUUUCUAUAAGCCGUUGAUUUCUCUUCAUUUUGAACAUCAUAAGCACAAGGAUUGUGCGACCACACAUUGUCUCUAAAUACCACAUCUCCAUCAGUAAUAUCAACAAAAGCUUUCUUCGAUCCAUCUCUAAUAAAUCAUAAAAAUCAACAAAAAUUAAGCAUGUAUAUUUUUACAAACCAACAAAGUAUAUGUCUAGACGAUAUAUAUAUACAAACCAACAAAGUUUUGGCAUUGCUUAUAGUAUCUGUUUCAUUUUUUACUUUUUUCCACCUGAAACAAAUUACACUUUCCAUUUGAAAAGUGUCAAUCACCAUGAAAAAGAAAAACUAGCACCUAACAAACAGUUAUGCCAAGCGACCCAUAGAGAAAUUAUAGAACAUCCAUGAGCAAUUGAAAACCAUUAGGAAAUGAGAAUAGCAAGCAAACUGGGCACAUCAACUCGACUGAUUCCCAUUAGAAAUUUCGUUAAGAAAACCAACUCUCCCUAUUUUCAUAGUUUAUUUAAGAUAAUUGAGCAUGCCUCUUGACCUGAGCAUGCAGAAGCACUAUCCUAAAUGACUACCUAAUUCUUCUCACUCCCAAAUUGUUCUCCUGUCAACAUCAAGUCAGCUAUACAGGUUGAAGCUCUCCCGUACUUAAAUGUUUGGCAGACAUAAUUUCUCAAUUGAGCCAACUAUUUAUAUCUAUUGUGGGUUGAUACAGUAACCUCACCCUGAAAAAAGAAAAACCAGCACCCAACAAAGUAUCAGGUAAAUUUGUUGAAUAUUUUUUUUGCAGUCUAUGAUAUAAUGAGAAGAUUGUUGGUUGGUAUCCAAAAGCUCCAAUUCCACCCAUCAAUUUGUUCAUAUCUUCUCAUUCCAAACAAAAAUCCCAUAAUCAAAACAAUCCAAAAUUGAAAACCCUAGAAAAAUACCCAAUUAUAAUCCAAUGAAAAUUAACCAAUACAAAUGUUAAUUUUCAUCAAAUUAAGCUAACUACAAACAACCACAUAAUCAAAACUUAAAAAUCAAACCAAGAAAUAGCAUAUUGAACCCAUCAAAUAUCACCAAGGAGAGAGACAAACAGAGAAGAAGAGUGGAAAGAGAAGAAGAGAGUUGAACAACUAACCUUGAGUGAGUGAGUACAACACAAUAGAAGAGGAAAACAAAGCAACGUGGAAGAGGAGAGCUAGAGCAACAUCGAAGAGAAGAGCAGCGCAGAGCAAUGUUAGAUAAUGACAAACUCAAUAGCGACUUGGUUAUUUAAAGGCACCUCUUCAGAGUUCUCUAUUUUGUGCAAACGAUUGAAGUGUUUUUUGUAGGCCCGGAUUCUAUAGUCUCAUUUAACUUAAAGAUGGGGGUUAGGUGUGUUCUGAACUUUACCUCACGUUUCAAUAAAGUCCGCAACAUUUUUUUUUAACAAUUAUAUCUGUUAACUCGAUAAGUAGUUGCAAUUAGGUCCAACCGUGAUAGCCUAUCAAUUUAGCUGUCAGAACAAGGGCUAAAAACGUCAUUUCGAGUUUAAGAGUCUCCUAACCACUGCCUCAACCCUAAUUACUUUACUAACCAUUCAAUAUCGACGCCUUUUGCAAAGGAAGGAUAGUCCAAGUACAGUUUUUUGUACUCCUUUUGAUUCCGUCACAAGGCACUUGUGAGUCUGAUUCCAUGAGCAGCUUUUUAACCAAAAUAUGCAACUCCGUUAUCAUUCCUGAUAAUCACCCCCAAGCCAAUCUUAAAAGUUGAUCCAAACCAAGCUCCAUCAAAAUUGACCUUGAAGGACCCGACUGGAGGAGGGCACCAAAAAACAGCAGGAGCACUGGAACAAAGA